AAUAUUGAUGGGCAAGAACUGGUGGUUCUUAUUUUUAAUACUAUUGUUAAGCAAUUGAUUUUGAGGUAGAUGGUGAUCAGUUCUGAAUUAGAUACACUUGGCGAUUGAAGUUUGCUAUUCUUUGAUGGAGAUUGGGAUGAGUUUAACUUCUCAACAAAAUCUUUCUUUUCGAUUUCUCAUUUCUUUCCCUUUCCCUCUUGAAAGAGGUUAAUAUUCAAAUCUUCUUCAUGAAUGUGUCACAUUGUUAAUUUGAUUUUGAUAGAAUAUGUGAGGUACAGAUGUAGAAAGGGGUAUCUGACUAUCAAGUAACAGAAUCUCUCCUUCUAUAUCUCUUGGCCAUUUUAAGAUUUUGAUUAUCCAAAAUCAAGGUUCUUGUAGAAUAAGCGUUUGAGAGACAAGCAGUUAUUGAUUACAAAAACGUUUGAAAAGGAUUCUUGUGGGAAAAGGCAAUUUCUAUCCGGGCUUGUCUGGAGUUAUGGCUGGUGCAUUUUUGGAUGGUGUAAUUUGUCAGGUUUGAGUUCUUUGAAGCAUAAACCUGGAACACCUAAACCGUUGCAUAAAAAAGGGGGAAAACAUUAGAGAUAUGGGCCAUCCCUUGAACAAUGUUUGCUUCAAGGAAAUAUGCACUAGACUUGUACAUGUUUCAUUAAUUAUCUGUUUUGUCUUCCUAACUUGUAUGUGUUUCUUUAAUUAUCUGUUUGUCUUCCUGUCAUACGUAUGCAUCUGUGUUUCUCUUUUGGAAAAUUGUUUGUGAUAUUUGUUCUUCUGUAAUUACAUGAUUAACAGCUAAAUGUAAAUCAAGCAACAAG
Molecule: unclassified non-coding RNA, 809 nt
Filed under: Hevea brasiliensis (rubber tree)
Lineage: Eukaryota; Viridiplantae; Streptophyta; Magnoliopsida; Malpighiales; Euphorbiaceae
Source: RNAcentral